Molecule: non-coding RNA, 2326 nt
Organism: Pelobates cultripes (western spadefoot toad)
Lineage: Eukaryota; Metazoa; Chordata; Amphibia; Anura; Pelobatidae
Source: the annotation of a GenBank genome assembly
GUCAAAACGGUAGGCCACCAGCUGUUGCGAGAUUAUUUUCUGUCCUCUCUGUCUUUAUUUACUACCUUCCUUUCUUUAUGUUUAAUUUGUAACAGGCCCUAAUACCUCUCCAUUUACCCUUCUGUCCCCCUGGAUCUACUGCAACGGAUAUAAUAUAUAUUGGGAGGGGUAGAUAAACAAGUCUGAGUAGUAAAACCAAGAUAUUGGGGAUGACACGUUCCACUUCAGAGAGAUUCACAAAGUCAGUUUAUAUAUUGCCCUAACAAAAUUAAAAAAAAAUAUGUAGAUAAAAAUGUCCACCUUCUUGAAGUUUAUAAAAACAUAAUAUAGUAAAUGUCACUGUGAAAAGGACUUUCAUAGAGGUUUUCUGAUUGUGUAUUUGAGAAUUUACUUAAACCCAGAGCAAUAGUGAGUAUCUAAUGAAAUUAGCAUCAAUUUGUAAAGGAUGUCCAUGUUAUAAUGUAGUUAUCACCCCAUUUAUAACCACAGUAGGUGCAGCCAUCAACCAUUCUUUAACCAUAGUAACAAAUAUAUACAUAGGAAUAAUAAGGAAUAAUAAUAAGAAUAUCUACUCAAAGAUAUAAGGGUAUCUAAUGCAUGUACUAUAUAGUAUCAACUUUUGGAGUAGCAAAGAGUUUAAGUUCCAAAUAAGUGCUUCUUUGAUGGUAUUUAGAUAUAACAAAUAUGGUAUCAACAUGGCCUUGGUCUUGUUUUUAUGUGAAAUAUAUACCUAUUAAGGAGUCAUAUCCAAGUUGCUCACAAAAUCAGGAGUAAAUAUUGAGCAAGGGAAACUGCAGGGGCAUGAUCUACAGUUGUGCUCAAAAGUUUGCAUACCCAGGCAGAAAUUGUGAAACUUUGGCAUUGAUUUUGAAAAUAUGACUGAUCAUGCAAAAAACAUUAUUUAAUUGAAUGUUGAUUAUAUGAAGCCAUUUAUUAUCACAUAGUUGUUUGGCUCCUUUUUAAAUCAUGAUGAUAACAGAAAUCACUGAAAUGGCCCUGAUCGAAAGUUUACAUACUCUUGAAUAUUUGGCCUUGUUACAGACACACAAGGUGACACACAGGUUAAAAUGGCAAUUACAGGUUAAUUUCCCACACCUGUGGCUUUUUAAAUUGUAAUUAGUGUCCGUAUAUAAAUAGUCAAUGAGUUUGUUAGCUCUCACAUGGAUGCACUGAGCAGGCUAGAUACUGAGGAGCAGAAAAGAUACAUGGGGAGCAGAAAAGAUACAUGAGGAGCAGAAAAGAACUGUCAAAAGACCUGUGUAACAAGGUAAUGAAACUUUACAAAGAUGAAAAAGGAUAUAAAACUAUAUCCAAAGCCUUGAAAAUGCCAGUCAGUACUGUUCAAUUACUUAUUAAGAAGUUGAACAUUUGGGGAUCUCUUGCUACCAAGCCAAGGUCCGGUAGACCAAGAAAGAUUUCAGCCACAACUACCAGAAGAAUUGUUCGGGAUCCAAAGAAAAACCCAUAGGUAACCUCAGGAGAAAAACAGGCUGCUCUGGAAAAAGAUGGUGUGGUUGUUUCAAGGAGCACAAUACAACGAUGAGCUGCAUGGCCGAGUUGCCAGAAAGAAGACUUUACUGCACCAAUGCCACAAGCAAGCCUGGUUACAAUAUGCCCAACAAAACCUUAAUGUGCCUCAAAGCUUCUGGCACACUGAAAUUUGGAGUGAUGACACCAAAAUAGAACUUUAUGUUCACAACCAUAAGCGCUAUGUUUGGAGAGGUGUCAACAAGGCCUAUAGUGAAAAGAAUACCAUCCCCUCUGUGAUGCAUGGUGGUGGCUCACUGAUGUUUUGUGGGGGUGUUAGUUCUAAAGGCACUGGGAAUCUCUUUUGAUUGAUGGCACGAUGAAUGCAACAUGUUAUCAGAAAAUACUGGCUGACAAUUUGCAUUCUUCUGCACGAAGGCUGAGCAUGGGACGCUCUUGGACUUUACAGCAUGACAAUGACCCUAAGCAAAAGGACAAGUUGAGCCUCCAUUGGUUAUAGCAGAAAAAGGUGAAAGUUCUGGAGUGACAAUCACAGUCUCCUGACCUUAAUACCAUCAAGACACUCUGGGGAGAUCUCAAACGUGCUGUUCAUACAAGACGACCAAAGACUUUCCAUAUCCUGGAGGCACUUUGUCAAGACGAAUGGGUAGGUAUACCACCUGCAAGAACUAAGGGCCUCAUAGACACCUUUUACAAAAGACUGCAUGCCGUCAUUGAUGCUAAAGGGGGCAAUACACAAUAUUAAGAACUAAGGGUAUGCAGACUUUUGAACAGGGGUCAUUUCAUUUUUUUCUUUGUUGCCAUGUUUUGUUUUAUGAUUGUGCCAUUCUGUUAUAAC